UUGCUGGGUGGAUUAGUGGCGAACGGGUGAGUAACACGUGAGUAACCUGCCCUUAACUCUGGGAUAAGCCUGGGAAACUGGGUCUAAUACCGGAUAGGAGCGNCNACCGCAUGGUGGGUGUUGGAAAGAUUUAUCGGUUUUGGAUGGACUCGCGGCCUAUCAGCUUGUUGGUGAGGUAAUGGCUCACCAAGGCGACGACGGGUAGCCGGCCUGAGAGGGUGACCGGCCACACUGGGACUGAGACACGGCCCAGACUCCUACGGGAGGCAGCAGUGGGGAAUAUUGCACAAUGGGCGCAAGCCUGAUGCAGCGACGCCGCGUGAGGGAUGACGGCCUUCGGGUUGUAAACCUCUUUCAGUAGGGAAGAAGCGAAAGUGACGGUACCUGCAGAAGAAGCACCGGCUAACUACGUGCCAGCAGCCGCGGUAAUACGUAGGGUGCGAGCGUUAUCCGGAAUUAUUGGGCGUAAAGAGCUCGUAGGCGGUUUGUCGCGUCUGUCGUGAAAGUCCGGGGCUUAACCCCGGAUCUGCGGUGGGUACGGGCAGACUAGAGUGCAGUAGGGGAGACUGGAAUUCCUGGUGUAGCGGUGGAAUGCGCAGAUAUCAGGAGGAACACCGAUGGCGAAGGCAGGUCUCUGGGCUGUAACUGACGCUGAGGAGCGAAAGCAUGGGGAGCGAACAGGAUUAGAUACCCUGGUAGUCCAUGCCGUAAACGUUGGGCACUAGGUGUGGGGACCAUUCCACGGUUUCCGCGCCGCAGCUAACGCAUUAAGUGCCCCGCCUGGGGAGUACGGCCGCAAGGCUAAAACUCAAAGGAAUUGACGGGGGCCCGCACAAGCGGCGGAGCAUGCGGAUUAAUUCGAUGCAACGCGAAGAACCUUACCAAGGCUUGACAUGUUCUCGAUCGCCGUAGAGAUACGGUUUCCCCUUUGGGGCGGGUUCACAGGUGGUGCAUGGUUGUCGUCAGCUCGUGUCGUGAGAUGUUGGGUUAAGUCCCGCAACGAGCGCAACCCUCGUUCCAUGUUGCCAGCACGUCGUGGUGGGGACUCAUGGGAGACUGCCGGGGUCAACUCGGAGGAAGGUGAGGACGACGUCAAAUCAUCAUGCCCCUUAUGUCUUGGGCUUCACGCAUGCUACAAUGGCCGGUACAAUGGGUUGCGAUACUGUGAGGUGGAGCUAAUCCCAAAAAGCCGGUCUCAGUUCGGAUUGGGGUCUGCAACUCGACCCCAUGAAGUCGGAGUCGCUAGUAAUCGCAGAUCAGCAACGCUGCGGUGAAUACGUUCCCGGGCCUU
Molecule: ribosomal RNA, 1291 nt
Filed under: Micrococcus sp.
Lineage: Bacteria; Bacillati; Actinomycetota; Actinomycetes; Micrococcales; Micrococcaceae
Description: bacterial SSU rRNA
Rfam family: Bacterial small subunit ribosomal RNA
Source: RNAcentral